UACGAAGGGGGCUAGCGUUGUUCGGAAUUACUGGGCGUAAAGCGUGCGUAGGUGGUGAGUUAAGUCUGUCGUGAAAGCCCCGGGCUCAACCUGGGAAUGGCGAUGGAUACUGGCUCGCUAGAGUGCGGUAGGAGGAGAGUGGAAUUCCCGGUGUAGCAGUGAAAUGCGUAGAGAUCGGGAGGAACAUCAGUUGCGAAGGCGGCUCUCUGGACCAGCACUGACACUGAGGCACGAAAGCGUGGGGAGCAAACGGG
RNAcentral lists this ribosomal RNA (254 nucleotides) under uncultured bacterium. Its description in RNAcentral is "partial 16S ribosomal RNA". It matches the Rfam family "Bacterial small subunit ribosomal RNA", at positions 524 to 776 of the family's 1533-position model. The record is from RNAcentral.